UCUUCCUACGGGGGGCAGCAGUGGGGAAUAUUGGGCAAUGGGCGCAAGCCUGACCCAGCAACGCCGCGUGAAGGAAGAAGGCCCUCGGGUUGUAAACUUCUUUUGUCAGGGACGAAGCAAGUGACGGUACCUGACGAAUAAGCCACGGCUAACUACGUGCCAGCAGCCGCGGUAAUACGUAGGUGGCAAGCGUUAUCCGGAUUUACUGGGUGUAAAGGGCGUGUAGGCGGGGAAGCAAGUCAGAUGUGAAAUUCC
Molecule: ribosomal RNA, 255 nt
Filed under: uncultured bacterium
Lineage: Bacteria
Description: partial 16S ribosomal RNA
Rfam family: Bacterial small subunit ribosomal RNA
Source: RNAcentral